UACGAGGGGGCAAGCGUUGUUCGGAAAGUUAUUGGGCGUAAAGAGCUUGUAGGCGGUUUGUUGAAGUCAGGGGUGAAAUCCUGGAGCUCAACUCCAGAACUGCCUUUGAUACUGGCGUAGUCUUGAGUCCGGGAGAGGUGAGUGGAACUCGAGUGUAGAGGUGAAAUUCGUAAGAUAUUACGGAAGAACACCAGUGGCGAAGGCGGCUCACUGGCCCGGUACGUGACGCUGAUGUGCGAAAGCGUGG
This 247-nucleotide ribosomal RNA is filed under the name uncultured bacterium. Its description in RNAcentral is "partial 16S ribosomal RNA". It matches the Rfam family "Bacterial small subunit ribosomal RNA", at positions 524 to 764 of the family's 1533-position model. The record is from RNAcentral.